CCUGGCUCAGGAUGAACGCUAGCGACAGGCUUAACACAUGCAAGUCGAGGGGCAGCACAGGUAGCAAUACCGGGUGGCGACCGGCGCACGGGUGAGUAACGCGUAUGCAACUUACCUAUCAGAGGGGGAUAACCCGGCGAAAGUCGGACUAAUACCGCAUGAAGCAGGGGUCCCGCAUGGGGAUAUUUGCUAAAGAUUCAUCGCUGAUAGAUAGGCAUGCGUUCCAUUAGGCAGUUGGCGGGGUAACGGCCCACCAAACCGACGAUGGAUAGGGGUUCUGAGAGGAAGGUCCCCCACAUUGGUACUGAGACACGGACCAAACUCCUACGGGAGGCAGCAGUGAGGAAUAUUGGUCAAUGGGCGUAAGCCUGAACCAGCCAAGUCGCGUGAGGGAUGAAGGUUCUAUGGAUCGUAAACCUCUUUUAUAAGGGAAUAAAGUGCGGGACGUGUCCCGUUUUGUAUGUACCUUAUGAAUAAGGAUCGGCUAACUCCGUGCCAGCAGCCGCGGUAANUACGGAGGAUCCGAGCGUUAUCCGGAUUUAUUGNGUUUAAAGGGUGCGUAGGCGGCCUUUUAAGUCAGCGGUGAAAGUCUGUGGCUCAACCAUAGAAUUGCCGUUGAAACUGGGAGGCUUGAGUAUGUUUGAGGCAGGCGGAAUGCGUGNUGUAGCGGUGAAAUGCUUAGAUAUCACGCAGAACCCCGAUUGCGAAGGCAGCCCUGCAAGCCAUGACUGACGCUGAUGCACGAAAGCGUGGGGAUCAAACAGGAAUAGAUACCCUGUUAGUCCACCAGUAAACGAUGAUCACUAGCUGUUUGCGAUACAGUGUAAGCGGCACAGCCGAAGCCGUAAGUGAUCCACCUGGGGAGUACGCCGGCAACGGUGAAACUCAAAGGAAUUGACGGGGGCCCGCACAAGCGGAGGAACAUGUGGUUUAAUUCGAUGAUACGCGAGGAACCUUACCCGGGUUUGAACGCAUUCGGACCGAGGUGGAAACACCUUUUCUAGCAAUAGCCGUUUGCGAGGUGCUGCAUGGUUGUCGUCAGCUCGUGCCGUGAGGUGUCGGCUUAAGUGCCAUAACGAGCGCAACCCUUGCCACUAGUUACUAACAGGUGAUGCUGAGGACUCUGGUGGGACUGCCAGCGUAAGCUGCGAGGAAGGCGGGGAUGACGUCAAAUCAGCACGGCCCUUACAUCCGGGGCGACACACGUGUUACAAUGGCGUGGACAAAGGGAAGCCACCUGGCGACAGGGAGCGAAUCCCCAAACCACGUCUCAGUUCGGAUCGGAGUCUGCAACCCGACUCCGUGAAGCUGGAUUCGCUAGUAAUCGCGCAUCAGCCAUGGCGCGGUGAAUACGUUCCCAGGGCUUGUACACACCGCC
RNAcentral lists this ribosomal RNA (1378 nucleotides) under uncultured bacterium. RNAcentral describes it as "bacterial SSU rRNA". It matches the Rfam family "Bacterial small subunit ribosomal RNA", at positions 18 to 1394 of the family's 1533-position model. The record is from RNAcentral.